AUUUUUUAUUUCUUUGUUGAUUUGCUGGCUGUCUGGAUUGGCUCCCAAGGUUGCGAUUCGGGCAGCAGCACGUGUUUUUCACUUGCGAUUCUGGGUUCAUCACGUUCUUCAAGUCUAUAUUCUCUAGCUACAUAGUUGUUUUCUCUCUGUUCAUCGAUAGUUCUAUUUUGUGUCAGAUUUUUUAUUUCUUUGUUGAUUUGCUGGCUGUCUGGAUUGGCUCCCAAGGUUGCGAUUUGGGCAGCAGCACGUUUUUUUCACUUGCGAUUCUGGGUUCAUCACGUUCUUCAAGUCUAUAUUCACUAGAUACAUAGUUGUUUUCGCUCUGUUCAUCGAUAGUUCUAUUUUGUGUCAGAUUUUUUAUUUCUUUGUUGAUUUGCUGGCUGUCUGGAUUGGCUCCCAAGGUUGCGAUUCGGGCAGCAGCAUCUUUUUUUCACUUGCGGUUCUGGGUUCAUCACGUUCUUCAAGUCUAUAUUCUCUAGCUACAUAGUUGUUUUCUCUCUGUUCAUCCAUAGUUCAAUUUUCAAUUCAUAGAGGGCGACAAGGUAUUGACGAGGGCUGCUGAGCGGGCUACAUGGCACUCGACCUCCAUACAAGCGUGUAGUCAUCGGAUAUAUCUCUUAGCCUUUUGUGUUGGAUUUUUUUAUUUCUUUGUUGAUUUGCUGGCUGUCUGGAUUGGCUCCCAAGGUUGUGAUUCGGGCAGCAGCACGUUUUUUUCACUUGCGAUUCUGGGUUCAUCACGUUCUUCAAGUCUAUAUUCUCUAGCUACAUAGUUGUUUUCUCUCUGUUCAUCGAUAGUUCUGUUUUGUGUCAGAUGUUUUAUUUCUUUGUUGAUUUGCUGGCUGUCUGGAUUGGCGCCCAAGGUUGCGAUUCGGGCAGCAGCAUGUUUUUUUCACUCGCGAUUCUGGGUUCAUCACGUUCUUCAAGUCUAUAUUCUCUAGCUACAUAGUUGUUUUCUCUCUGUUCAUCGAUAGUUCUGUUUUGUGUCAGAUUUUUUAUUUCUUUGUUGAUUUGCUGGCUGUCUGGAUGGCUCCCAAGGGUGCGAUUCGGGCAGCAGCACGUAUUUUUCACUUGCGAUUCUGGGUUCAUCACGUUCUUCAAGUCUAUAUUCUCUAGCUACGUAGUUGUUUUCUCUCUGUUCAUCCAUAGUUCAAUUUUCAAUUCAUAGAGGGCGACAAGGUAUUGACGAGGGCUGCUGAGCGGGCUACAUGGCACUCGACCUCCAUACAAGCCAGUAGUCAUCGGAUAUAUCUCUUAGCCUUUUGUGUUGGAUUUUUUUAUUUCUUUGUUGAUUUGCUGGCUGUCUGGAUGGCCGGCAAGGGUGCGAUUCGGGCAGCAGCACGCGUUUUUCACUUGCGAUUCUGGGUUCAUCACGUUCUUUAAGUCUACAUUCUCUAGCUGCAUAGUUGUUUUCUCUCUGUUCAUCGAUAGUUCUAUUUUGUGUCAGAUUUUUUAUUUCUUUGUUGAUUUGCUGGCUGUCUGGAUUGGCUCCCAAGGUUGCGAUUCGGGCAGCAGCACGUGUUUUUCACUUGCGAUUCUGGGUUCAUCACGUUCUUCAAGUCUAUAUUCUCUAGCUACAUAGUUGUUUUCUCUCUGUUCAUCGAUAGUUCUAUUUUGUGUCAGAUUUUUUAUUUCUUUGUUGAUUUGCUGGCUGUCUGGAUCGUCUCCGAAGGGUGCGAUUUGGGCAGCAGCACGUUUUUUUCACUUGCGAUUCUGGGUUCAUCACGUUCCUUAAGUCUAUAUUCUACGCUGCAUAGCCUGUAAGUGUUCUGAGUUAUAGUGGCACAGUGGUAUGUAUUGGCUGGACAUAGUAUUAACAUUACAUCUGAAAUCACUAUCAAACCAACUGGCACACACUCUAACUCGAAAAAAACAAACACAUUGACAUAAAGAAAUGAGACAAGGAUGAAGAAGCAGCUCCGAGGACAUCAGCAGUGCAGUUCCGGAGAUGCAGAUGCAGAGAGGAUAUUCAGCCACCAACAGUGAAGACCGUUACAGCAACGAAAACACUGUCCGAAAGGUGUCAGAAAGGAAGAAAUUGGGUAAAUGUUGCAUUACACAUGACUGUUGGUAAUAUGACAUUCAACUUUUCCCUUUUUUUUACUAUGAUCAUUAUUAUGCCUUUAAUAUUUUUUCUUAAGUUAGUUCCUCAAAUUAUGCCCAGUGCCUAAUCGUGCAUUUGUUUUCUCACGACAUGACACCCACAUGAGGUCCUGCCUGACUACAUCAUAAAUGUAUGCAGAUCAACACCGUAAAGUUAAGUACUCUUCUUCAACGUAAUAGAAAUGUGUUUUUCCUCUUUGGUCUGAAAUAACAUAUUAUUGCAGUUAUGUUUUCCCUGUCUUCUCUGUAAAAUCACUGCCAUAACCGUGACAAUGGUGAGAGACUUCAAUGAGGACAGCAACAGUUCCAGUGAGGGACCCAAAUGGGGCUGGCAAGGAGAAGAACCAGGUUCGUCAGUCAGGACAGAAGACGGCUCCAGUGAAGAAUCCGCAUUCGCCACAAGAAACCAGAACCAGAGGGAGACUCCAGACUGACAUGUCAUAGGACAGCAGCAGUUUUAUAAAAACCAGAUGAUACGGAGGCAGAAUCAAUGAUCAGUUAAACGAGUACAGCAAUAGUGGUAAUGACGGACAAGAGGAUCAUCAGCGAGAACCCAAGUUACAACUGCAACUUUCCAGAGAACAGGAGUGAAGAGGCAAUAUCACAACACAAAAUACAGGGGAAAAGAGGAAGAUGACUGGAUUGUACCCAAAUGUCCCUCUGCCA
Platichthys flesus (European flounder) is the source of this 2766-nucleotide long non-coding RNA. RefSeq lists it as uncharacterized. Lineage: Eukaryota; Metazoa; Chordata; Actinopteri; Pleuronectiformes; Pleuronectidae. The record is from RefSeq and is a predicted model, not a curated record. The transcript has 5 exons.